This 609-nucleotide long non-coding RNA is filed under the name Vigna radiata. RNAcentral's name for it is "long non-coding RNA (VRAD_LNC015688)". Lineage: Eukaryota; Viridiplantae; Streptophyta; Magnoliopsida; Fabales; Fabaceae. The record is from RNAcentral.
AAACAAAAUAAAAGAUAAAAAAUUCAGAAACUGAGUUCAAAGUAUUUUUUUCUUUUUGUUGAAUUUUUUUAGGAACUUAAUAUAACCAAGAACUUGUUGCAGUGUCCCAAUCAUAGGAACUUUAAUCUCCAAUUUCUUGAAGAUUUCCAUGAAACGCUCAAGCUGUUUUUCCUUUUUUCUUCCUAUGAUCCUUCUUUGGGUGAGGAGGGGGUUUUUCAUAUGAUUCUUUCUUUUUGCUUUCAUUCUUCCCCUCUUUCUUCUUCUCCUUGGGACACUUCUUAGGGCACAAAGGACUUUUCUAAAUUUUUUUCUCUUCUCUCUCAACUUCUUCCUUUUCUACCUCUUUCUCUUUCUCACUCAAAUCUUCUUCUUCUUCUCUCUUUACUUUUAUCUCAUCUUCUUUCUCUUCUUCUUCUUGCUCUUCGUAAUUCAUACUCUCUUUUUCUUUUCUCUAUUUUUUUCUCAUACUCUCUUUCUUCUUUUUUUCCUUCCUCAUUUGGGACUUUGUCACUUUCAAUGACAACAUCUUUGCAUUCCUUUUCAGGAUUAAGAUCACCCAACAUCUGCAUCAGGAGGUUAAAAUGUGUCAUCAUCCUUUCAGAUGCCGCU